RNAcentral lists this ribosomal RNA (305 nucleotides) under uncultured bacterium. RNAcentral describes it as "bacterial SSU rRNA". It matches the Rfam family "Bacterial small subunit ribosomal RNA", at positions 334 to 638 of the family's 1533-position model. The record is from RNAcentral.
UGCUCCUACGGGGGGCAGCAGUGAGGAAUAUUGGUCAAUGGGCGAUAGCCUGAACCAGCCAAGUCGCGUGAGGGAAGACGGCCCUAUGGGUUGUAAACCUCUUUUGUCGGGGAGCAAGGUCGCUACGUGUAGCGAUUUGAGAGUACCCGAAGAAAAAGCAUCGGCUAACUCCGUGCCAGCAGCCGCGGUAAUACGGAGGAUGCGAGCGUUAUCCGGAUUUAUUGGGUUUAAAGGGUGCGUAGGCGGGAGAUCAAGUCAGCGGUAAAACUGCGGGGCCCAACCCCGUCGAGCCGUUGAAACUGGUU